This 596-nucleotide long non-coding RNA is filed under the name Nicotiana benthamiana. RNAcentral's name for it is "long non-coding RNA (NBEN_LNC024507)". The record is from RNAcentral. Lineage: Eukaryota; Viridiplantae; Streptophyta; Magnoliopsida; Solanales; Solanaceae.
GAACGUACAAACAUGGAAACAUGCUGAGGCAUGAUUAACGAAAUAUUGUUAGUCGAAAGUUUCAAAAUCAACAUCCAUUAAAUAUGAUUUAAAGCUCACUUGAAUGUUUUCUUAAUCCAAACUAACGAAUAACCAAAACUAUAAAAAGUCUACUAUAGAUGAACACUAACGGAGAUCAAAAUACAGUAAAAGGACAUUAACCGAGCAAUAUAUCAUCUGUUUGAUCACAGAGCAACACAGAGAACAAGCAAACAAAAUAUACAACAGUGGAGAGAAAAGAAAACUGAACCUUAUAGUGAGAAACUUUCUUCAUUAUAAUCCAACAUUUUUAUCCCAAAGAUUUAUACAAUGAUGAUUCGAAAGGAGCAAAAAUACGAGAAAACUAACGACCAGAUCUGGACUGAAAUGCUCCUCUAAUCGAAAACCAAGUCGGCGACCUCGACCCCGGCGAACUCAACUUUGGAGAUGCUACUUUUUUAGCAAAGAAGAAGCAAUUUUUCAGUAUUUUCGGUUGGUUUGAAGAUUGUUCGACAUCCUUUAAUGGUGGUUUGGUUGCCGUGAUUUUUUGAAGCAGAAGAAGAAGCAGGAGGCGUUGG